RNAcentral lists this non-coding RNA (28 nucleotides) under Homo sapiens (human). The record is from RNAcentral. Lineage: Eukaryota; Metazoa; Chordata; Mammalia; Primates; Hominidae.
UCUCAGACGAUGGGCGGCCGGGCAGAGA